Molecule: transfer RNA, 74 nt
Filed under: Acidimicrobiaceae bacterium
Lineage: Bacteria; Bacillati; Actinomycetota; Acidimicrobiia; Acidimicrobiales; Acidimicrobiaceae
Description: tRNA-Pro
Rfam family: tRNA
About the family: Transfer RNA (tRNA) molecules are approximately 80 nucleotides in length. Their secondary structure includes four short double-helical elements and three loops (D, anti-codon, and T loops).
Source: RNAcentral
CGGGGAGUGGCGCAGCUUGGAAGCGUACCUGCUUUGGGAGCAGGGGGCCGCGGGUUCAAAUCCCGCCUCCCCGA